Erinaceus europaeus (western European hedgehog) is the source of this 125-nucleotide small nucleolar RNA. NCBI's taxonomy places the organism in Eukaryota, Metazoa, Chordata, Mammalia, Eulipotyphla, Erinaceidae. The record is from Ensembl.
AAACUACAUUUGACUGCUUACUUGAUUCUGUUUGCAGAAAUUGUUUUAUAACUGGCGAUAGCAAUGCCAUGUUACAAGCCUUAAUGACGUUGGGAUCAUUAAGGUCCCUGAGAGUGGCUAUAUGA